Molecule: transfer RNA, 75 nt
Filed under: Bacillota bacterium
Lineage: Bacteria; Bacillati; Bacillota
Description: Firmicutes bacterium (gut metagenome) tRNA-Gln
Rfam family: tRNA
About the family: Transfer RNA (tRNA) molecules are approximately 80 nucleotides in length.
Source: RNAcentral
AGGGGUGUCGCCAAGCGGCAAGGCAACGGUUUCUGGGUCCGUCAUUCGUUGGUUCGAAUCCAGCCACCCCUGCCA